GGAGAAUAGCUCAGUGGUAGAGCGCAUGCUUAGCAUGCACUUAGUCCUGGGUUCAAUCCCCAGUACCUCCA
RNAcentral lists this transfer RNA (71 nucleotides) under Camelus bactrianus (Bactrian camel). It matches the Rfam family "tRNA". Rfam says of the family: Transfer RNA (tRNA) molecules are approximately 80 nucleotides in length. Their secondary structure includes four short double-helical elements and three loops (D, anti-codon, and T loops). The record is from Rfam by way of RNAcentral. Lineage: Eukaryota; Metazoa; Chordata; Mammalia; Artiodactyla; Camelidae. RNAcentral also lists the same sequence under 2 other names.